GAUUAAGUGUCUUAAGGGCAUUUGGUGGAUGCCUUGGCGUAUAGAGGCGAUGAAAGACGUGGUAUGCUGCGAUAAGCUACGGGGAGCUGCAAACAGGCUUUGAUCCGUGGAUUUCUGAAUGGGGAAACCCACCCCUGUAGGGGUAUCCUGCACUGAAUACAUAGGUGUAGGAGGCGAACCCGGCGAACUGAAACAUCUAAGUAGCCGGAGGAAAGGACAUCAACAGAGACCCCCCUAGUAGCGGCGAGCGAACGGGGGCCAGGCCAGUGGCCAUAGAGUAAGAACGGGAAGUGGAUGGAAAGCCACGCUGUAAAGGGUGAUAGCCCCGUACCGGUAGAAAUCUUUAUGGUCCUCGAGUAGGGCGGGACACGUGAAAUCCUGUCUGAACAUGGGGGGACCACCCUCCAAGCCUAAGUACUCCUAUACGACCGAUAGCGAACAAGUACCGUGAGGGAAAGGUGAAAAGCACCGCAAUGCGCGGGGUGAAAGAGAUCCUGAAACCGAAUGCCUACAAACAGCUGGAGCCCGCAAGGGUGACAGCGUACCUUUUGUAUAAUGGGUCAGCGAGUUAGUCUGUCGAGCAAGCUUAAGCCGUUAGGUGUAGGCGUAGCGAAAGCGAGUCUGAAUAGGGCGUUUAGUUCGUUGGAUUAGACCCGAAACCGAGUGAUCUAGGCAUGGGCAGGUUGAAGGUGCUGUAACAGGCACUGGAGGACCGAACCGACUAACGUUGAAAAGUUAGCGGAUGACCUGUGCUUAGGGGUGAAAGGCCAAUCAAACUCGGAUAUAGCUGGUUCUCCGCGAAAACUAUUUAGGUAGUGCGUCACGUAUUGCCAUCGGGGGUAGAGCACUGAAUGGGCUAGGGGGCCGCGAGGCUUACCAAACCUAAUCAAACUCCGAAUACCGAUGAGUACAGCGUGGCAGACACACUAUGGGUGCUAAGGUCCAUAGUGGAAAGGGAAACAGCCCUAACCGCCGUCUAAGGUCCCUAAGUUAUGAUUAAGUGGGAAAGGAUGUGGGAAGGCCAAGACAACCAGGAAGUUGGCUUAGAAGCAGCCAUCUUUUAAAGAAAGCGUAACAGCUCACUGGUCUAGUUAAGCCGUCCUGCGCCGAAAAUGUAACGGGGCUCAAAUCAUACACCGAAGACGCGGGUGUGUAUCUUUGAUACACGCGGUAGCGGAGCGUUCCGUAGGCCUGUGAAGCCGUACCUGUGAGGGGCGGUGGAGGUAUCGGAAGUGCGAAUGCUGACAUGAGUAGCGACAAAGAGUGUGAGAAACACUCUCGCCGAAAGUCCAAGGGUUCCUGAGCAAGGCUAAUCCGCUCAGGGUAAGUCGGCCCCUAAGUCGAGGGCGAAAGCCGUAGACGAUGGGAAUGAGGUUAAUAUUCCUCAACCUGUGGAAAGUGACGAAUGACUUGAUCUGUACGUCCUUAUUGGAUUGGAUGUGCAGUGCGGUUGUUCCAGGAAAUAGCUUCCACAACAGACCGUACCCUAAACCAACACAGGUGGACAGGUAGAGUAUACUAAGGCGCUUGAGAGAACUACGUUGAAGGAACUCGGCAAAUUGCCUCCGUAACUUCGGGAGAAGGAGGCCCUGCACUUAGGCAACUAGGUGUAGGGGGCACAAAAUUGGGGGUAGCGACUGUUUAUUAAAAACACAGGGCUCUGCGAAGUCGCAAGACGACGUAUAGGGUCUGACGCCUGCCCGGUGCCUGAAGGUUAAGAGGAGGUGUGAGAGCUCCGAAUUGAAGCCCAGGUAAACGGCGGCCGUAACUAUAACGGUCCUAAGGUAGCGAAAUUCCUUGUCGGGUAAGUUCCGACCUGCACGAAUGGCGUAACGACUUCCCCACUGUCUCCAACGUAGACUCAGCGAAAUUGAAUUCCCCGUGAAGAUGCGGGGUACCCGCGGUCAGACGGAAAGACCCCGUGCACCUUUACUAUAGCUUUGCAUUGGUAUUAGGUUUUACAUGUGUAGGAUAGGUGGGAGCCGUUGAACCUCUGGCGCCAGUUGGAGGGGAGGCAUCCUUGAAAUACCACCCUUGUGAGAUUUGAUAUCUAACCGCGGCCCGUUAUCCGGGUCCGGGACCCUGCAUGGUGGGUAGUUUGACUGGGGCGGUCGCCUCCUAAAGAGUAACGGAGGCGCGCGAUGGUGAGCUCAGGCUGGUCGGAAAUCAGCUGUAGAGUGCAAUGGCAUAAGCUCGCCUGACUGCGAGGCCGACAGGCCGAGCAGAGACGAAAGUCGGUCAUAGUGAUCCGGUGGUCCCGCGUGGAAGGGCCAUCGCUCAACGGAUAAAAGGUACGCCGGGGAUAACAGGCUGAUCUCCCCCAAGAGUCCACAUCGACGGGGAGGUUUGGCACCUCGAUGUCGGCUCAUCACAUCCUGGGGCUGGAGCAGGUCCCAAGGGUUUGGCUGUUCGCCAAUUAAAGUGGUACGUGAGCUGGGUUUAGAACGUCGUGAGACAGUUCGGUCCCUAUCUGCCGUGGGUGUUCGAGACUUGAGAGGAGCUGCCCCUAGUACGAGAGGACCGGGGUGGACGAACCUCUGGUGGACCGGUUGUUGCGCCAGCAGCAUAGCCGGGUAGCUAAGUUCGGAAAGGAUAACCGCUGAAAGCAUCUAAGCGGGAAGCCCCCCUCAAAACCAGGUCUCGCUGAGGGUCGUGGAAGACCACCACGUCGAUAGGCUGGGUGUGGAAGUGUGGCAACACAUGAAGCUAACCAGUCCUAAUCACCCGAUUGACUUAAUCUG
This 2741-nucleotide ribosomal RNA is filed under the name Alphaproteobacteria bacterium. Its description in RNAcentral is "23S ribosomal RNA". It matches the Rfam family "Bacterial large subunit ribosomal RNA". Lineage: Bacteria; Pseudomonadati; Pseudomonadota; Alphaproteobacteria. The record is from RNAcentral.